RNAcentral lists this small RNA (127 nucleotides) under Marmota monax (woodchuck). Lineage: Eukaryota; Metazoa; Chordata; Mammalia; Rodentia; Sciuridae. The record is from RNAcentral.
GCCGGGUGCCGUGGCCCACGCCUGUCAUCCCAGCAGUUUGGGAGGCUGAGGCAGGAGGAUCGCCAGGUGGAGGCCAGCCUCUGCCACUUAGCAAAGCCCUGAGCAGCUCAGCGAGACCCUGUCUCUC